GUCGAGCGGACAGAAGGGAGCUUGCUCCCGGAUGUUAGCGGCGGACGGGUGAGUAACACGUGGGUAACCUGCCUGUAAGACUGGGAUAACUCCGGGAAACCGGAGCUAAUACCGGAUAGUUCCUUGAACCGCAUGGUUCAAGGAUGAAAGACGGUUUCGGCUGUCACUUACAGAUGGACCCGCGGCGCAUUAGCUAGUUGGUGAGGUAACGGCUCACCAAGGCGACGAUGCGUAGCCGACCUGAGAGGGUGAUCGGCCACACUGGGACUGAGACACGGCCCAGACUCCUACGGGAGGCAGCAGUAGGGAAUCUUCCGCAAUGGACGAAAGUCUGACGGAGCAACGCCGCGUGAGUGAUGAAGGUUUUCGGAUCGUAAAGCUCUGUUGUUAGGGAAGAACAAGUGCAAGAGUAACUGCUUGCACCUUGACGGUACCUAACCAGAAAGCCACGGCUAACUACGUGCCAGCAGCCGCGGUAAUACGUAGGUGGCAAGCGUUGUCCGGAAUUAUUGGGCGUAAAGGGCUCGCAGGCGGUUUCUUAAGUCUGAUGUGAAAGCCCCCGGCUCAACCGGGGAGGGUCAUUGGAAACUGGGAAACUUGAGUGCAGAAGAGGAGAGUGGAAUUCCACGUGUAGCGGUGAAAUGCGUAGAGAUGUGGAGGAACACCAGUGGCGAAGGCGACUCUCUGGUCUGUAACUGACGCUGAGGAGCGAAAGCGUGGGGAGCGAACAGGAUUAGAUACCCUGGUAGUCCACGCCGUAAACGAUGAGUGCUAAGUGUUAGGGGGUUUCCGCCCCUUAGUGCUGCAGCUAACGCAUUAAGCACUCCGCCUGGGGAGUACGGUCGCAAGACUGAAACUCAAAGGAAUUGACGGGGGCCCGCACAAGCGGUGGAGCAUGUGGUUUAAUUCGAAGCAACGCGAAGAACCUUACCAGGUCUUGACAUCCUCUGACAACCCUAGAGAUAGGGCUUUCCCUUCGGGGACAGAGUGACAGGUGGUGCAUGGUUGUCGUCAGCUCGUGUCGUGAGAUGUUGGGUUAAGUCCCGCAACGAGCGCAACCCUUGAUCUUAGUUGCCAGCAUUCAGUUGGGCACUCUAAGGUGACUGCCGGUGACAAACCGGAGGAAGGUGGGGAUGACGUCAAAUCAUCAUGCCCCUUAUGACCUGGGCUACACACGUGCUACAAUGGACAGAACAAAGGGCUGCGAGACCGCAAGGUUUAGCCAAUCCCACAAAUCUGUUCUCAGUUCGGAUCGCAGUCUGCAACUCGACUGCGUGAAGCUGGAAUCGCUAGUAAUCGCGGAUCAGCAUGCCGCGGUGAAUAC
Molecule: ribosomal RNA, 1324 nt
Filed under: Bacillus sp. (in: firmicutes)
Lineage: Bacteria; Bacillati; Bacillota; Bacilli; Caryophanales; Bacillaceae
Description: bacterial SSU rRNA
Rfam family: Bacterial small subunit ribosomal RNA
Source: RNAcentral